UGAUGCCUCUUCCAGAAAAAACA
Molecule: non-coding RNA, 23 nt
Filed under: Mus musculus (house mouse)
Lineage: Eukaryota; Metazoa; Chordata; Mammalia; Rodentia; Muridae
Source: RNAcentral